Molecule: long non-coding RNA, 337 nt
Filed under: Phoenix dactylifera (date palm)
Lineage: Eukaryota; Viridiplantae; Streptophyta; Magnoliopsida; Arecales; Arecaceae
Description: long non-coding RNA (PDAC_LNC018349)
Source: RNAcentral
CAUUGGUUUGGCGCCCCUGGAAGGAAAUUUGAGGUUUAACGCGGCGGCAGAGAAAAUGGAUCAUGAGGGGCUUGGUGGUCCAUGUCUUCAGGCGUUUGACCAAGGGGAUAAUGGAGCUAGAGAUAUUUGUAUUGAAUCUCGGUUGUUCUUCUGGCAUUCAAAUUCCAUUCCACUCGAUAUACUUAAAAAUAUAGAUUUUCUAAAAGUACUCUCUUUAAUUGAUUUUUAGAAAAUGCCUCUAUAUUUAAUUAAUUUUUCGAUUUUAGUUACAAUUAAAUGGGUUAGUGAAUAUGGCCAUUUUGAUUUUCAUUCUAUUUAAUUUCGAUUUUGGUGGUGC